This 256-nucleotide ribosomal RNA is filed under the name uncultured bacterium. RNAcentral's name for it is "partial small subunit ribosomal RNA". It matches the Rfam family "Bacterial small subunit ribosomal RNA", at positions 26 to 285 of the family's 1533-position model. The record is from RNAcentral.
AGGACGAACGCUGGCGGCGUGCUUAACACAUGCAAGUCGAGCGGUGAUCCUCCUUCGGGAGGUGAUCAGCGGCGAACGGGUGAGUAACACGUGGGCAACCUGCCCCUCACACUGGGAUAACCUCGGGAAACCGGGGCUAAUACCGGAUACGACCUCGAGCGGCAUCUCUUGAGGUGGAAGCUCCGACGGUGAGGGAUGGGCCCGCGGCCUAUCAGCUUGUUGGUGGGGUAAUGGCCUACCAAGGCGACGACGGGUA